UACGGGGGGGGCAAGCGUUGUUCGGAAUUACUGGGCGUAAAGGGCUCGUAGGCGGCCAACUAAGUCAGACGUGAAAUCCCUCGGCUUAACCGGGGAACUGCGUCUGAUACUGGAUGGCUUGAGGUUGGGAGAGGGAUGCGGAAUUCCAGGUGUAGCGGUAAAAUGCGUAGAUAUCUGGAGGAACACCGGUGGCGAAGGCGGCAUCCUGGACCAAUUCUGACGCUGAGGAGCGAAAGCCAGGGGAGCAAACGGG
This 253-nucleotide ribosomal RNA is filed under the name uncultured bacterium. Its description in RNAcentral is "partial 16S ribosomal RNA". It matches the Rfam family "Bacterial small subunit ribosomal RNA", at positions 524 to 776 of the family's 1533-position model. The record is from RNAcentral.